GUAGGUGAACCUGCGGAAGGAUCAUUAAUGAGAUAGGGUCCCUGUGGCCCGAACCUCCAACCCAUUGUGUACCUACCACUGUUGCUUUGGCAUGGCAUGCGCCUCCCCCGGGGGGUGCCGUCCCUGACGUGCUCGUCUGUGCCUGCCGGAGUCACCAAUCAACCCCCUUAAUAAUGUAGUCUGAGUGUAUAUUAAUAGCUAAAAACUUUCAACAACGGAUCUCUUGGUUCUG
Molecule: unclassified non-coding RNA, 232 nt
Filed under: rhizosphere metagenome
Description: partial ribosomal RNA internal transcribed spacer region
Source: RNAcentral